UGUAAUUGAGUUUUCCACUUGUGAUCAAGGCAAAAUUACGUUUGAUAGGUUAUUAGAAUAUGAGUGCUGUUAGGAAAAAAUAAUGUGAACAAAUGACAAAUUAUUAGCCUUUUGUUGGGAUUUUUAAAUUAACAUCUUAAUUUUUGCUUUGUUAAGACUUUAUAAAGAACGAUUAAGUCAGGUGGAUGCAAAACUACAAGAAGUCAUCGCUGGAAAAGCACCAGAAUAUUUGGAACCACUGGCAACUUUACAAGAAAAUAUGCAAAUACGAACAAAAGUAGCAGGAAUCUAUAGAGAGCUCUGCUUAGAAUCUGUAAAGAACAAAUAUGAAUGUGAAAUUCAAGCUUCUCGCCAGCAUUGUGAGGUAAUUGCAUCUCUUCAAGCCUUUUCUGAGUGUAGUAGUCUAAAAAAAGCAAAUAAAUAAGUAAAACAAAAUCACAUAGUACUUAGCUGAUCACUUGUGUGUGAGUUUAAAAAAAUAUAGUUGAAGCUGUAUUAGAAAAAGUACACAAAGCAGUGUAGAAGAGAGAUAAUUUUAGAGUUUUACAACUGUUACUUUAGAAAAACUGUAAUGAACAUGCCAUCUGGCAUCCCUGACAUUAUGAGUAUAAAUUUAGUAUGAUAUGAGAAGUCAGUCUAAAAAUGCAUAUUGAAUGGUACAAUUAGAAUGUUGGGGUAUAGAAUUAAUUUUUGAUCAUCUAGAUCUAUGUCCACGUUAGGGCAGCAUUCUCUUUAAGAAAAAAAUAGGUAUAUUUUUCUAUAUGUACUGUUUAUUUUGAAUAGUGUUUAAAAAUAGUGCUAGUUUUACAAAGUGCUUACUUUUCAUAAAACCUAGACAAAAUCAUAAUAGUCUUGGGCAAGUAAGAGGACAAGUUCGAUAGUGACUCUUGUUUCCAUUUAAUACACCAUAUGCUAAGAGGUAGGUAGGGAUAAAAGUGAUAGAGCCUGUUACUUUAUUUUGUUUUGUUUUAAGAUAGGGUCUCACUAUGUUGUCCAGAAUCACCUGGAACUUGCUAUGUAACCCAGAAUGAACUUGCUCUCAAGACCCACCUCCUGACUGCUGGGUGUGUGCCACCAUGCCUGUCUUAUUUUUGAUUACUAAUGAGAUGAAUAUCUUUUUGUUGUUUACUGGGAUUUCCUUUCCUAAGUAAGGCUUGUUUGUAUCUUUGGUGUUGGACUCUUGCUUGCUCUUUUCCUCAUUGACUAUAGAAGUUCUUUGUGUAUUUUGGAUAAAAAGGCUUUGCUGCUUACAUACUUUGCAAAUAUUUUUACCCAAGCAGUGGGGUCUUUUCACUCUUUGAUGAUUUGAAGCACAAAAGUUUUAUAUUUUAAUGCAGUUAAAGUUAUCAUCUUUCCCUCAUUGCAUGUGCAUCUUACUGUCUUCUCUAUUUAGG
This 1394-nucleotide long non-coding RNA is filed under the name Castor canadensis (American beaver). RNAcentral describes it as "lncRNA (ENSCCNG00000006278.1)". The record is from RNAcentral. Lineage: Eukaryota; Metazoa; Chordata; Mammalia; Rodentia; Castoridae.